This 1183-nucleotide long non-coding RNA is filed under the name Numida meleagris (helmeted guineafowl). Its description in RNAcentral is "lncRNA (ENSNMEG00000002930.1)". The record is from RNAcentral. Lineage: Eukaryota; Metazoa; Chordata; Aves; Galliformes; Numididae.
AUGUUCAGGUGCCACCUUAAGGACACCCAGGAGUCUCCAAAUAUUCAGGGGGUCUCGAGAUGUUCAGGUGCCACCUUAAGGACCCCCAGGGCUCUCCAGAUGUUCAGGUGCCACCUUAAGNGGCCAUCCGUUGGGGUUUGGUGGUCAUCCGUUGGGGUUUGGUGGCCAUCUGUUGGGGUGGCCAUCCACUGGGAGUUUUGGUGGCCAUCUAUUGCGGUUUGGUGGCCAUCCGUUGAGGUUUGGUGGCCUUCUGUUGGGGUUUGGUGGCCAUCUGUUGGGGUUUGGUGGCCGUCCAUUGGGGUUUGGUGGCCAUCUGUUGGGGUGGCCAUCCAUUGGGAGCUCUCUUUGCCAUCUAUUGGGGUUUGGUGGUCAUCUGUUGGGGUUUGGUGGCCAUCUGCUGGGAUGGCCGUCCAUUGGGAGCUCUCUUGGCCAUCCAUGGGGCUUUGGUGGCCAUCCAUUGAGGUUUGGUGGCCAUCUGUUGGGGUGGCCAUCCAUUGGGAGUUCUCUUGGCCAUCCAUUGGGGUUUGGUGGCCAUCUGCUGGGGUGGCCAGCCAUUGGGAGUUCUCUCAGCCAUCCAUGGGGCUUUGGUGGCCAUCUGCUGGGGUUUGGUGGCCAUCCAUUGAGGUUUGGUGGCCAUCUGUUGGGGUGGCCAUCCAUUGGGAGCUCUCUUGGCCAUCCAUUGAGGUUUGGUGGCCAUCUAUUGGGGUUUGGUGGCCAUCCAUUGAGGUUUGGUGGCCAUCUGUUGGGGUGGCCAUCCAUUGGGAGUUCUCUUGGCCAUCCAUUGAAGUUUGGUGGCCAUUCAUUGGGAGUUUUGGUGGCCAUCCAUUGGGGUUUGGUGGCCAUCCAUGGGGGUUUGGUGGCCAUCCGUUGGGGUGGCCAUCCAUUGCAAGUUUUGGUGGCCAUCUAUUGGGGUUUGGUGGCCAUCUGUUGGGUUUUGGUGGUCGUCUGUUGGGGUGGCCAUCCAUUGGAAGUUUUGGUGGCCAUCCGUUGGGGUUUGGUGGCCAUCCAUUGGGGUUUGGUGGCCAUCUGUUGGGGUGGCCAUCCAUGGGGAGUUUUGGUGGCCAUCUGUUGGGGUGGCCAUCCAUGGGGGUUUGGUGGCCAUCCAUGGGGGUUUGGUGGCCAUCCAUGGGGGUUUAGUGGCCAUCUGUUGGGGUGGCCAUCCAUUGAGGUUUGGUGGCCAUCC